AUUGAACGCUGGCGGCAUGCCUUACACAUGCAAGUCGAACGGUAACAGGUCUUCGGAUGCUGACGAGUGGCGAACGGGUGAGUAAUACAUCGGAACGUGCCUAGUAGUGGGGGAUAACUACUCGAAAGAGUGGCUAAUACCGCAUGAGAUCUACGGAUGAAAGCAGGGGAUCGCAAGACCUUGUGCUACUAGAGCGGCCGAUGGCAGAUUAGGUAGUUGGUGGGAUAAAAGCUUACCAAGCCGACGAUCUGUAGCUGGUCUGAGAGGACGAUCAGCCACACUGGGACGGAGAAAGGGCCCAGACUCCUACGGGAGGCAGCAGUGGGGAAUUUUGGACAAUGGGCGCAAGCCUGAUCCAGCAAUGCCGCGUGCAGGAUGAAGGCCUUCGGGUUGUAAACUGCUUUUGUACGGAACGAAAAGCCCCGGGUUAAUACCCUGGGGUCAUGACGGUACCGUAAGAAUAAGCACCGGCUAACUACGUGCCAGCCGCCGCCGUAA
RNAcentral lists this ribosomal RNA (498 nucleotides) under uncultured bacterium. RNAcentral's name for it is "partial 16S ribosomal RNA". It matches the Rfam family "Bacterial small subunit ribosomal RNA", at positions 30 to 523 of the family's 1533-position model. The record is from RNAcentral.